GUGAGUGUGAUGUAGUGGUUUGAAUGUUGGACUAUGGUUUUGGAGACCAGGGUUCAAUUCCCUGCUUGGCCA
RNAcentral lists this transfer RNA (72 nucleotides) under Phrynosoma platyrhinos (Desert horned lizard). Its description in RNAcentral is "tRNA-OTHER". Lineage: Eukaryota; Metazoa; Chordata; Lepidosauria; Squamata; Phrynosomatidae. The record is from RNAcentral.